RNAcentral lists this ribosomal RNA (853 nucleotides) under uncultured Flavobacteriaceae bacterium. Its description in RNAcentral is "bacterial SSU rRNA". It matches the Rfam family "Bacterial small subunit ribosomal RNA", at positions 35 to 886 of the family's 1533-position model. Lineage: Bacteria; Pseudomonadati; Bacteroidota; Flavobacteriia; Flavobacteriales; Flavobacteriaceae. The record is from RNAcentral.
GCUAGCGGCAGGCCUAAUACAUGCAAGUCGAGGGGUAACAGGAAGUGCUUGCACUUCGCUGACGACCGGCGCACGGGUGAGUAUCGCGUAUACAAUCUGCCUCAUACUAGGGAAUAGCCCGAAGAAAUUUGGAUUAAUGCCCUAUAGUAUCUUUUUAAGGCAUCUUAUUAAGAUUAAAGGUUACGGUAUGAGAUGAGUAUGCGUUCUAUUAGCUAGUAGGUGUGGUAACGGCACACCUAGGCUACGAUAGAUAGGGGCCCUGAGAGGGGGAUCCCCCACACUGGUACUGAGACACGGACCAGACUCCUACGGGAGGCAGCAGUAAGGAAUAUUGGUCAAUGGACGAAAGUCUGAACCAGCCAUGCCGCGUGCAGGAUGACUGCCCUAUGGGUUGUAAACUGCUUUUAUAUAGGAAGAAAAACUUUCUCGUGAGAAAGCUUGACGGUACUAUAAGAAUAAGGAUCGGCUAACUCCGUGCCAGCAGCCGCGGUAAUACGGAGGAUCCAAGCGUUAUCCGGAAUCAUUGGGUUUAAAGGGUCCGUAGGUGGACAAAUAAGUCAGAGGUGAAAUCCUGCAGCUCAACUGUAGAACUGCCUUUGAUACUGUUUGUCUUGAGUUAUUAUGAAGUGGUUAGAAUGUGUAGUGUAGCGGUGAAAUGCAUAGAUAUUACACAGAAUACCGAUUGCGAAGGCAGAUCACUAAUAAUCAACUGACACUGAUGGACGAAAGCGUGGGUAGCGAACAGGAUUAGAUACCCUGGUAGUCCACGCCGUAAACGAUGGUCACUAGCUGUUUGGACUUCGGUCUGAGUGGCUAAGCGAAAGUGAUAAGUGACCCACCUGGGGAGUACGUC